GACUGCUAUCGGAUUGAUACUAAGCCAUGCGAGUCUUUGUAGUAAUACAAGGCAGACGGCUCAGUAACACGUAGUCAACCUACCCUAUGGACAAGAAUAAUCUCGGGAAACUGGGCAUAAUUCUUGAUAGAUCAUAAUGCCUGGAAUGGUUUAUGGUUAAAAUGAUUCGUCGCCAUAGGAUGGGACUGCGGCCUAUCAGCUUGUUGGUGAGGUAAUGGCCCACCAAGGCGAUUACAGGUACGGGCUCUGAGAGGAGUAGCCCGGAGAUGGGUACUGAGACACGGACCCAGGCCCUAUGGGGCGCAGCAGGCGAGAAAACUUUGCAAUGUGCGAAAGCACGACAAGGUUAAUCCGAGUGAUUUCUGCUAAAGAAAUCUUUUGCCAGUCGUAAAACCGCUGGUGAAUAAGGGGUGGGCAAGUUCUGGUGUCAGCCGCCGCGGUAAAACCAGCACCUCAAGUGGUCAGGAUGAUUAUUGGGCCUAAAGCAUCCGUAGCCUGCUCUGUAAGUUUUCGGUUAAAUCUGUAUGCUCAACAUACAGGCCGCCGGGAAUACUGCAGAGCUAGGGAGUGGGAGAGGUAGACGGUACUCAGUAGGAAGGGGUAAAAUCCUUUGAUCUAUUGAUGACCACCUGUGGCGAAGGCGGUCUACCAGAACACGUUCGACGGUGAGGGAUGAAAGCUGGGGGAGCAAACCGGAUUAGAUACCCGGGUAGUCCCAGCUGUAAACGAUGCAGACUCGAUGAUGCAUUGGCAUAAUAGCCAGUGCAGUGUCGCAGGGAAGCCGUUAAGUCUGCCGCCUGGGAAGUACGUACGCAAGUAUGAAACUUAAAGGA
RNAcentral lists this ribosomal RNA (833 nucleotides) under uncultured marine group I thaumarchaeote. Its description in RNAcentral is "SSU rRNA". It matches the Rfam family "Archaeal small subunit ribosomal RNA", at positions 25 to 863 of the family's 1478-position model. The record is from RNAcentral. Lineage: Archaea; Thermoproteati; Nitrososphaerota.